GAGAAAAAGGAGCAGGUAGAUGUGAGCAAACCAUAGCAGAAAACUCUCCUAACCUGGGGAAAGACACAGACAUCAAAAUCCAGGAAGCACAGAGGACUCCCAUAAAAUUCAACAAAAA
This is a long non-coding RNA of Lynx canadensis (Canada lynx), 118 nucleotides long. RefSeq lists it as uncharacterized. The transcript is spliced from 3 exons. NCBI's taxonomy places the organism in Eukaryota, Metazoa, Chordata, Mammalia, Carnivora, Felidae. The record is from RefSeq and is a predicted model, not a curated record.